RNAcentral lists this ribosomal RNA (392 nucleotides) under uncultured bacterium. RNAcentral's name for it is "partial 16S ribosomal RNA". It matches the Rfam family "Bacterial small subunit ribosomal RNA", at positions 523 to 918 of the family's 1533-position model. The record is from RNAcentral.
AUACGGAGGAUCCGAGCGUUAUCCGGAUUUAUUGGGUUUAAAGGGUGCGCAGGCGGCCAUUUAAGUCAGCGGUUAAAUCGUGGGGCUCAACCCCAUUCUGCCGUUGAUACUGGGUGGCUUGAUUGCGGUCGAGGUUGGCGGAAUUCGUUGUGUAGCGGUGAAAUGCAUAGAUAUGACGAAGAACACCGAUUGCGUAGGCAGCUGACCAGAUCGCAAAUGACGCUCAUGCACGAAAGUGCGGGGUUCGAACAGGAUUAGAUACCCUGGUAGUCCGCACAGUAAACGAUGAAUACUUGUUUUCGGCGAUAUAAUGUCGGAGGCAAAGCGAAAGCGAUAAGUAUUCCACCUGGGGAGUACGCCGGCAACGGUGAAACUCAAAGGAAUUGACGGGG